GACGAACGCUGGCGGCGUGCCUAACACAUGCAAGUCGAACGAGGCCCAGGGAAGCUUGCUUCCUGAAGACCUAGUGGCGAACGGGUGAGUAACACGUGAGAAACCUGCCUCGGAGUGGGGAAUAACUCGGGGAAACUCGAGCUAAUACCGCAUACCUUCACAUGAUCGCAUGGUCGAGUGAAGAAAGAAUUUCGCUCUGAGAGGGUCUCGCGGCCUAUCAGCUUGUUGGUGGGGUAACGGCCUACCAAGGCAACGACGGGUAGCUGGUUUGAGAGAACGAUCAGCCACACUGGGACUGAGACACGGCCCAGACUCCUACGGGAGGCAGCAGUGGGGAAUCUUGCGCAAUGGGCGAAAGCCUGACGCAGCAACGCCGCGUGCGGGAUGACGGCCUUCGUGGUUGUAAACCGCUUUCAGCAGGGACGAAAAUAGACGGUACCUGCAGAAGAAGCCCGGCUAACUACGUGCCAGCAGCCGCGGUAAU
This 484-nucleotide ribosomal RNA is filed under the name uncultured bacterium. Its description in RNAcentral is "bacterial SSU rRNA". It matches the Rfam family "Bacterial small subunit ribosomal RNA", at positions 28 to 524 of the family's 1533-position model. The record is from RNAcentral.